GUUCAAAAGAUUAGUAAUUUACCAGUAGAAUUAUGAGGAGAAUGAGCUCCAUUGCCUUUCGUGCUCUGCGGGGCUUGGGAUGCUGAUCUUUGGAUGCGUGGGGUUGAGCUCUGCUUUCCGUUUUCAAUAGGUAAGGAAUGCCUUUUCUUAGGUUGGAUAUCAUUCAAAUCAGGGCUGGACUUCUGAGAUGUAAUAACAUGGGCUUUUGCUUUUGCAGAUGCAGUGGCUUGCAUAUAACCUGGAAGAGAACUACUGCUACUGAGCCUGGGUUCCUGAUCAACAUGAUCGGUUUUAGCCAUCCCAAAUGAGUUAUGCCUCAUUGAAAUCCUCAAACCCUUGGUUAAAUUUUCUGUGCUACUUUUUCCAUCCGAAUCAAUAUUUGGAUUAGAUGGUGAUCUUUUACCUACCAAAUGAGACCUUUGCCUAUGGGUAUGCCUGCUAUUAUCCUUCUUACUCUUUUUGGCAUUUACAGAUACAUCGCUAGAUGGGGUUCCAUGAAGAUCAGUAGCUGUUGCAUGACUUCUUGGAGUUCCUUGAGGCGAACUAGCUUGCCCUAUCAUACCUUCCAG
RNAcentral lists this long non-coding RNA (569 nucleotides) under Musa acuminata (dwarf banana). RNAcentral's name for it is "long non-coding RNA (MACU_LNC000123)". Lineage: Eukaryota; Viridiplantae; Streptophyta; Magnoliopsida; Zingiberales; Musaceae. The record is from RNAcentral.